GCAGUCUGCAACUCGAGUGCAUGAAGCUGGAAUCGCUAGUAAUCGCGGAUCAGAAUGCCGCGGUGAAUACGUUCCCGGGUCUCGUACACACCGCCCGUCACACCAUGGGAGUCGGGAAUGCCCGAAGCCGGUGGCCCAAUCGAGAGAAGGGAGCCGUCGAAGGCAGGCCGGAUGACUGGGGUGAAGUCGUAACAAGGUACC
Molecule: ribosomal RNA, 201 nt
Filed under: uncultured bacterium
Lineage: Bacteria
Description: partial 16S ribosomal RNA
Rfam family: Bacterial small subunit ribosomal RNA
Source: RNAcentral